AUGUACUCUUACCUAGAGAGAGAUCUUGCUGGUUGUGACUUUAGAUGGAUUUGGAGGGCUAGAUUACCUACCAAAAUCCAGAUUUUCCUUUGGCAACUCUUCCAGGAUGCCGUUCUGACUAGGGACGUUAUGAAGCGUCGGAACUGGGCUGGCAACCCCAGGUGUUCUUUCUGUGAUUGCAGAGAAACCUAUUUACAUCUGUUUUUUCGAUGCCCAGUGGCAAGGAUUGCCUGGCGCAUGGUUGGGGCGGUGUUUGGGACCGAUUUAUGUCCCAAUAACCUAUGUCAAUUUUGUUGGGUUUCGUAG
Molecule: ribosomal RNA, 306 nt
Filed under: Triticum aestivum (bread wheat)
Lineage: Eukaryota; Viridiplantae; Streptophyta; Magnoliopsida; Poales; Poaceae
Description: partial small subunit ribosomal RNA
Source: RNAcentral